UACGGGGGGGGCAAGCGUUGUUCGGAAUUACUGGGCGUAAAGGGCGCGUAGGCGGUCGCCUAAGUCGGACGUGAAAUCCCCAAGCUUAACUUGGGAACUGCGUCUGAUACUGGGUGACUUGAGUUCGGGAGAGGAAUGUGGAAUUCCAGGUGUAGCGGUGAAAUGCGUAGAUAUCUGGAGGAACACCGGUGGCGAAGGCGGCAUUCUGGACCGAAACUGACGCUGAGGCGCGAAACCCAGGGGAGCAAACGGG
This 253-nucleotide ribosomal RNA is filed under the name uncultured bacterium. Its description in RNAcentral is "partial 16S ribosomal RNA". It matches the Rfam family "Bacterial small subunit ribosomal RNA", at positions 524 to 776 of the family's 1533-position model. The record is from RNAcentral.